Molecule: ribosomal RNA, 943 nt
Filed under: Aliarcobacter butzleri
Lineage: Bacteria; Pseudomonadati; Campylobacterota; Epsilonproteobacteria; Campylobacterales; Arcobacteraceae
Description: bacterial SSU rRNA
Rfam family: Bacterial small subunit ribosomal RNA
Source: RNAcentral
AGUGGCGCACGGGUGAGUAAUGUAUAGGUAAUAUGCCUCUUACUAAGGGAUAACAAUUGGAAACGAUUGCUAAUACCUUAUAUUCCUUUUUAUCAAAAGAUAAAAAGGGAAAGAUUUAUUGGUAAGAGAUUAGCCUGUAUUGUAUCAGUUAGUUGGUGGGGUAAUGGCCUACCAAGACGAUGACGCAUAACUGGUUUGAGAGGAUGAUCAGUCACACUGGAACUGAGACACGGUCCAGACUCCUACGGGAGGCAGCAGUGGGGAAUAUUGCACAAUGGACGAAAGUCUGAUGCAGCAACGCCGCGUGGAGGAUGACACAUUUCGGUGCGUAAACUCCUUUUAUAUAAGAAGAUAAUGACGGUAUUAUAUGAAUAAGCACCGGCUAACUCCGUGCCAGCAGCCGCGGUAAUACGGAGGGUGCAAGCGUUACUCGGAAUCACUGGGCGUAAAGAGCGUGUAGGCGGAUUGAUAAGUUUGAAGUGAAAUCCUAUAGCUUAACUAUAGAACUGCUUUGAAAACUGUUAAUCUAGAAUGUGGGAGAGGUAGAUGGAAUUUCUGGUGUAGGGGUAAAAUCCGUAGAGAUCAGAAGGAAUACCGAUUGCGAAGGCGAUCUACUGGAACAAUAUUGACGCUGAGACGCGAAAGCGUGGGGAGCAAACAGGAUUAGAUACCCUGGUAGUCCACGCCCUAAACGAUGUACACUAGUUGUUGUGAGGCUCGACCUUGCAGUAAUGCAGUUAACACAUUAAGUGUACCGCCUGGGGAGUACGGUCGCAAGAUUAAAACUCAAAGGAAUAGACGGGGACCCGCACAAGCGGUGGAGCAUGUGGUUUAAUUCGACGAUACACGAAGAACCUUACCUGGACUUGACAUAGUAAGAAUGAUUUAGAGAUAGAUUAGUGUCUGCUUGCAGAAACUUGCAUACAGGUGCUGCACGGCUGUC